CCAGCAUAUAAAGAAAAUAAAUGGCAUGGCUCAACUAAAGUGAACUCAAUUUGGCAAAGUUGGUUUGGAUUGUGUUCUUGGGAUUGGAGGCUUUGAGUUGGAGAGGAUUGAGAGUACAGUUCAUGCAGAGGACUCAAAGGAAGAUCAUGAAGAUCAUACAAGUCAUGAUCAUGAUCAUGACCAUCAUCAUCAUGAACAUGAGCAUAAACACAAUAA
Molecule: long non-coding RNA, 216 nt
Organism: Telopea speciosissima
Lineage: Eukaryota; Viridiplantae; Streptophyta; Magnoliopsida; Proteales; Proteaceae
Exons: 3
Source: RefSeq, a predicted model, not a curated record